RNAcentral lists this ribosomal RNA (777 nucleotides) under uncultured bacterium. RNAcentral describes it as "bacterial SSU rRNA". It matches the Rfam family "Bacterial small subunit ribosomal RNA", at positions 55 to 827 of the family's 1533-position model. The record is from RNAcentral.
AUGCAGGUCGAACGGAAACGAUGGGAGCUUGCUCCCAGGCGUCGAGUGGCGGACGGGUGAGUAAUACUUAGGAAUCUGCCCAUUAGUGGGGGACAACCUGAUGAAAACCAGGCUAAUACCGCAUACCACUAUAAUGACACAUGUUAUAAUAGUAAAAAUUGAGGUGGUAGUAGAUGGGCAUGCGUAUGAUUAGUUAGUUGGUGGGGUAACGGCCCACCAAGACAUCGAUCAUUAGCGGGUCUGAGAGGAUGAUCCGCCACACUGGUACUGAGACACGGACCAGACUCCUACGGGAGGCAGCAGUGAGGAAUAUUGGUCAAUGGGGGGAACCCUGAACCAGCCAUGCCGCGUGCAGGAAGACGGCCUUCUGGGUUGUAAACUGCUUUUAUACAGGAGCAAAGAGUCCCUGCGGGGAAAGUUGAGAGUAUUGUAUGAAUAAGCACCGGCUAACUCCGUGCCAGCAGCCGCGGUAAUACGGAGGGUGCAAGCGUUGUCCGGAUUUAUUGGGUUUAAAGGGUGCGUAGGCGGUUUAUAAAGUCAGUGGUGAAAGUCUUCGGCUCAACCGGAGGAUUGCCAUUGAAACUUAUAGACUUGAGUACAGUAGAGGUAGGCGGAAUUUAUGGUGUAGCGGUGAAAUGCAUAGAUACCAUAAAGAACACCGAUAGCGAAGGCAGCUUACUAUGCUGUUACAGACGCUGAGGCACGAAAGCGUGGGGAGCGAACAGGAUUAGAUACCCUGGUAGUCCACGCCGUAAACGAUGCUCACUCGAUGUUGGC